Molecule: ribosomal RNA, 505 nt
Filed under: uncultured bacterium
Lineage: Bacteria
Description: partial 16S ribosomal RNA
Rfam family: Bacterial small subunit ribosomal RNA
Source: RNAcentral
GACGAACGCUGGCGGCGUGCCUAAUACAUGCAAGUCGAACGCACAGUUUAUACCGUAGCUUGCUACACCAUAGACUGUGAGUUGCGAACGGGUGAGUAACGCGUAGGUAACCUGCCUGGUAGCGGGGGAUAACUAUUGGAAACGAUAGCUAAUACCGCAUAAUAUUGAUUAUUGCAUGAUAAUUAAUUGAAAGGUGCAAUUGCACCACUACCAGAUGGACCUGCGUUGUAUUAGCUAGUAGGUGAGGUAACGGCUCACCUAGGCGACGAUACAUAGCCGACCUGAGAGGGUGAUCGGCCACACUGGGACUGAGACACGGCCCAGACUCCUACGGGAGGCAGCAGUAGGGAAUCUUCGGCAAGGGACGAAAGUCUGACCGAGCAACGCCGCGUGAGGGAAGAAGGGUGUCGGAUCGUAAAGCUCGGUUGUAAGAGAAGAACGGGUGUGAGAGUGGAAAGUUCACACUGUGACGGUAUCUUACCAGAAAGGGACGGCUAACUACGUG